UAGCAUAAUCMUUAGUUUUUUAAUUGAAAACUGGAAUGAAAGGUUUAAUAAAAAAUAAUCUUUAUUAUUUUAAAAUAUUGAAUUUAUUUUUUUAGUAAAAAAACUAAAAUUUUUGAAAAAGACGAUAAGACCCUAUAAAGCUUUAUAAUAUUUUUAAAAAUUAAUAUUUAGAAUAUUUAUUUUAUUUAUAAUUUAAUUAUUUAAUUGGGGUGAUUUUAAGAUUAAAUAAACUCUUACUYYYYAUUUAACAAGUUUUUUUGUAAUUUAUUAAAAUUAAAAAUUUAUUAAUUUUUAAAAGAACCAAAAAACUGAUUUUAGAUAAGUUACUUUAGGGAUAACAGCGUAAUUUUUUUAAAGAGUUCUAAUCGCUAAAAAAGAUAGCGACCUCGAUGUUGAAUUAAGAUAAAUUUUAGGUGUAGAAGUUU
This 425-nucleotide ribosomal RNA is filed under the name Paratanytarsus intricatus. Its description in RNAcentral is "partial 16S ribosomal RNA". Lineage: Eukaryota; Metazoa; Arthropoda; Insecta; Diptera; Chironomidae. The record is from RNAcentral.